This 264-nucleotide ribosomal RNA is filed under the name uncultured Mallomonas. Its description in RNAcentral is "partial Bacterial large subunit ribosomal RNA". It matches the Rfam family "Bacterial large subunit ribosomal RNA", at positions 2366 to 2629 of the family's 2925-position model. Lineage: Eukaryota; Synurophyceae; Synurales; Mallomonadaceae. The record is from RNAcentral.
UGCUUAACUGAGAGAUAUACAUAUCAAACAGAGACGUAAGUCGGUCAUAGUGAUCCAGCGGUAUUGGGCGGAAAAGCCGUUGCUCAACGAAUAAAAGGUACGCCGGGGAUAACAGGCUGAUGGUUUCUGAGAGUUCAUAUCGACGAGACCGUUUGGCACCUCGAUGUCGUUUCAUCACAUCCUGGAGCUGUAGUUGGUUCCAAGGGUUCGGCUGUUCGCCGAUUAAAGUGGUACGUGAGAUGGGUUUAGAACGUCGUGAGACAG